This 84-nucleotide non-coding RNA is filed under the name Pasteurella multocida. Its description in RNAcentral is "sRNA-Xcc1". It matches the Rfam family "sRNA-Xcc1". Lineage: Bacteria; Pseudomonadati; Pseudomonadota; Gammaproteobacteria; Pasteurellales; Pasteurellaceae. The record is from Rfam by way of RNAcentral.
GAUCGAGAGUGCGAGGAAUACAAUACCGCAAGGGAAUAACUCCGCUAGAGUUUCGACUAGUUUUGAGCUCUCGAUCACCCUAAU